AGUGAACGCUGGCGGUAGGCCUAACACAUGCAAGUCGAACGGCAGCACAGUAAGAGCUUGCUCUUACGGGUGGCGAGUGGCGGACGGGUGAGGAAUACAUCGGAAUCUACUUUUUCGUGGGGGAUAACGUAGGGAAACUUACGCUAAUACCGCAUACGACCUACGGGUGAAAGCAGGGGAUCUUCGGACCUUGCGCGAUUGAAUGAGCCGAUGUCGGAUUAGCUAGUUGGCGGGGUAAAGGCCCACCAAGGCGACGAUCCGUAGCUGGUCUGAGAGGAUGAGCAGCCACACUGGAACUGAGACACGGUCCAGACUCCUACGGGAGGCAGCAGUGGGGAAUAUUGGACAAUGGGCGCAAGCCUGAUCCAGCCAUACCGCGUGGGUGAAGAAGGCCUUCGGGUUGUAAAGCCCUUUUGUUGGGAAAGAAAAGCAGCAGGUUAAUACCCCGCUGUUCUGACGGUACCCAAAGGAUAAGCACCGGCUAACUUCGUG
This 492-nucleotide ribosomal RNA is filed under the name uncultured bacterium. RNAcentral's name for it is "partial 16S ribosomal RNA". It matches the Rfam family "Bacterial small subunit ribosomal RNA", at positions 29 to 507 of the family's 1533-position model. The record is from RNAcentral.